This 221-nucleotide ribosomal RNA is filed under the name uncultured bacterium. RNAcentral describes it as "partial 16S ribosomal RNA". It matches the Rfam family "Bacterial small subunit ribosomal RNA", at positions 114 to 334 of the family's 1533-position model. The record is from RNAcentral.
AACGUGAGGAACCUGCCCUGGAGACCGGGAUAACUCCCCGAAAGGGGGUGCUAAUACCGGAUGUCCCCAUCGGAUCGCAUGGUCUGAUGUGGAAAUGGAUUCCGCUCCAGGAGGGCCUCGCGGCCUAUCAGCUUGUUGGUGAGGUAACGGCUCACCAAGGCGUCGACGGGUAGCUGGUCUGAGAGGACGAUCAGCCACACUGGGACUGAGACACGGCCCAG